RNAcentral lists this ribosomal RNA (433 nucleotides) under uncultured bacterium. RNAcentral describes it as "partial 16S ribosomal RNA". It matches the Rfam family "Bacterial small subunit ribosomal RNA", at positions 29 to 507 of the family's 1533-position model. The record is from RNAcentral.
AACGAACGCUGGCGGCAUGCCUAACACAUGCAAGUCGAACGAAACCUCCGGGUCUUUUGGCGCACGGGUGCGUAACGCGUGGGAACCUGCCCUUAGGUUCGGAAUACCUCUCCGAAAGGGGUGCUAAUACCGGAUAAUGUCUUCGGACCAAAGAUUUAUCGCGUUUGGAUGGGCACGCGUUGGAUUAGCUAGUUGGGAGGGUAAGAGCCUACUAAGGGGAGGAUCCAUAGCUGGUAUGAGAGGAUGAUCAGCAACACUGGGACUGAGACACGGCCCAGACUCCUACGGGAGGCAGCAGAGGGGAAUAUUGGACAAUGGGCUGAAGCCUGAUCCAGCAAUGCCGCGUGAGUGAUGAAGGCCUUAGGGUAGUAAAGCUCUUUUAACCGGGAUGGUAAUGACGGUACCGGGAGAAUAAGCUCCGGCUAACUACGUG